Molecule: ribosomal RNA, 497 nt
Filed under: uncultured bacterium
Lineage: Bacteria
Description: partial 16S ribosomal RNA
Rfam family: Bacterial small subunit ribosomal RNA
Source: RNAcentral
GAUGAACGCUGGCGGCGUGCCUAAUACAUGCAAGUCGAGCGAACAGACGAGGAGCUUGCUCCUCUGACGUUAGCGGCGGACGGGUGAGUAACACGUGGAUAACCUACCUAUAAGACUGGGAUAACUUCGGGAAACCGGAGCUAAUACCGGAUAAUAUAUUGAACCGCAUGGUUCAAUAGUAAAAGACGGUUUUGCUGUCACUUAUAGAUGGAUCCGCGCCGCAUUAGCUAGUUGGUAAGGUAACGGCUUACCAAGGCGACGAUGCGUAGCCGACCUGAGAGGGUGUUCGGCCACACUGGAACUGAGACACGGUCCAGACUCCUACGGGAGGCAGCAGUAGGGAAUCUUCCGCAAUGGGCGAAAGCCUGACGGAGCAACGCCGCGUGAGUGAUGAAGGUCUUCGGAUCGUAAAACUCUGUUAUUAGGGAAGAACAAAUGUGUAAGUAACUAUGCACGUCUUGACGGUACCUAAUCAGAAAGCCACGGCUAACUACGUG